AGCGAACGCUGGCGGCAGGCUUAACACAUGCAAGUCGAGCGGGCGUAGCACUACGUCAGCGGCAGACGGGUGAGUAACGCGUGGGAACAUACCUUUUGGUUCGGAACAACACAGGGAAACUUGUGCUAAUACCGGAUAAGCCCUUACGGGGAAAGAUUUAUCGCCGAAAGAUUGGCCCGCGUCUGAUUAGCUAGAUGGUGAGGUAAUGGCUCACCAAGGCGACGAUCAGAGCUGGUCUGAGAGGAUGAUCAGCCACAUUGGGACUGAGACACGGCCCAAACUCCUACGGGAGGCAGCAGUGGGGAAUAUUGGACAAUGGGCGCAAGCCUGAUCCAGCCAUGCCGCGUGAGUGAUGAAGGCCCUAGGGUUGUAAAGCUCUUUGUGCGGGAAGAUAAUGACGGUACCGCAAGAAU
RNAcentral lists this ribosomal RNA (413 nucleotides) under uncultured bacterium. Its description in RNAcentral is "bacterial SSU rRNA". It matches the Rfam family "Bacterial small subunit ribosomal RNA", at positions 29 to 487 of the family's 1533-position model. The record is from RNAcentral.